CUACGGGACGCUCCAGUGAGGAAUAUUGCACAAUGGGGGAACCCUGAUGCAGCAACGCCGCGUGGAGGAUGACGCAUUUCGGUGUGUAAACUCCUUUUAUAUGUCAAGAAAAUGACGGUAGCAUAUGAAUAAGCACCGGCUAACUCCGUGCCAGCAGCCGCGGUAAGACGGAGGGUGCAAGCGUUACUCGGAAUCACUGGGCGUAAAGGACGCGUAGGCGGGUUGGAAAGUCAGGUGUGAAAUCCUACAGCUUAACUGUAGAACUGCACUUGAAACUUCUAAUCUAGAGUAUGGGAGGGGGAGAUGGAAUUAGUGGUGUAGGGGUAAAAUCCGUAGAUAUCACUAGGAAUACCUAAAGCGAAGGCGAUCUCCUGGAACAUUACUGACGCUAAGGCGUGAAAGCGUGGGGAGCAAACAGGAUUAGAUACCCCAGUAGUC
This 438-nucleotide ribosomal RNA is filed under the name uncultured bacterium. Its description in RNAcentral is "partial 16S ribosomal RNA". It matches the Rfam family "Bacterial small subunit ribosomal RNA", at positions 339 to 795 of the family's 1533-position model. The record is from RNAcentral.